RNAcentral lists this ribosomal RNA (113 nucleotides) under Microcebus murinus (gray mouse lemur). Lineage: Eukaryota; Metazoa; Chordata; Mammalia; Primates; Cheirogaleidae. The record is from RNAcentral.
UCCUACAGCCACACCACCCUGAAUGUACCCGAUCUCAUCUGGUAUCAGAAACUAAGCAGGGUGGGGUUAGUCUUGGAUGGGAGAAAUGAAUCCCAAAUAAAUUACUAUACUCA